CUGGCUGCUCGUGUUCUCCCUCCUGGGCCUGUUCCUGCUGUUCGAGGUGGUGAAGCAAC
RNAcentral lists this non-coding RNA (59 nucleotides) under Pseudictyota dubia. Lineage: Eukaryota; Bacillariophyta; Thalassiosirophyceae; Eupodiscales; Odontellaceae. The record is from RNAcentral.